CCUACGGGGGGCUGCAGUGGGGAAUAUUGCACAAUGGGCGCAAGCCUGAUGCAGCCAUGCCGCGUGUGUGAAGAAGGCCUUCGGAUUGUAAAGCACUUUCAGCGGGGAGGAAGGCGGUGAGGUUAAUAACCUCAUCGAUUGACGGUACCCGCAGAAGAAGCACCGGCUAACUCCGUGCCAGCAGCCGCGGUAAUACGGAGGGUGCAAGCGUUAAUCGGAAUUACUGGGCGUAAAGCGCACGCAGGCGGUCUGUCAAGUCGGAUGUGAAAUCCCCGGGCUCAACCUGGGAACUGCAUUCGAAACUGGCAGGCUAGAGUCUUGUAGAGGGGGGUAGAAUUCCAGGUGUAGCGGUGAAAUGUGUAGAGAUCUGGAGGAAUACCGGUGGCGAAGGCGGCCCCCUGGACAAAGACUGACGCUCAGGUGCGAAAGCGUGGGGAGCAAACAGGAUUAGAUACCCCAGUAGUC
This 465-nucleotide ribosomal RNA is filed under the name uncultured Klebsiella sp. RNAcentral's name for it is "bacterial SSU rRNA". It matches the Rfam family "Bacterial small subunit ribosomal RNA", at positions 338 to 795 of the family's 1533-position model. The record is from RNAcentral. Lineage: Bacteria; Pseudomonadati; Pseudomonadota; Gammaproteobacteria; Enterobacterales; Enterobacteriaceae.